Molecule: long non-coding RNA, 635 nt
Organism: Condylura cristata (star-nosed mole)
Lineage: Eukaryota; Metazoa; Chordata; Mammalia; Eulipotyphla; Talpidae
Exons: 3
Source: RefSeq, a predicted model, not a curated record
UAACAAAAAUGGCGUCCAUGCGGCCUCAACAUCCUGUGCCUUUCCUCGCUGCCCUUACUCCCGAGGCGGAAAAGCGGAAGAUUGGACCCCAAGGCCGGAAGACCCGGUAGGUGACGUGCGUUGAUUGGACAGCUUCGGUGGCUGGGGAAGAAGGACGGCUAUGAUUGGUCCGCCCAGGGCGGCCCUGUUUGAAAGACUAGGGUGAAGGAGCGACUGGGCUGAAGGCGGCCGUGUAUGAAGAGCUUCUGGGUCUCUCGUAACUCUUCCUGGACAGCACCUGAAAGAGAGGGUCUCACGAGUUGAAGCCGCUGCUUCUGCAAUGCCAUAAAUGGUCUUGCGGGCAGGUGCAAAGUCCAGGGCUUGGAGGCGAGUAAGAAGCGAAGACCAGGCGGACUCUGAAGACCCAGAAGCUGAGAGACAAAGGCCUCUGGUGAAAGCUCACGGGCGGCAGAACCGGGGUUUAGUCAUUUGCUUCCCAGCCUCAGCCAAAUGCUUGGUGCGGCGCCCUGCACAGAGGAUUAAAGUCUCAGCGCUCUCAAGCUGUUACCAGCCCCUGUGACAUGCGUUGGAUCCCAAUCCCGGGCUAAGGAGUUGACCCACAUGGCCCAGCGGACCUCUCCUGUCUCUCCCGCUGC